RNAcentral lists this ribosomal RNA (236 nucleotides) under uncultured bacterium. RNAcentral describes it as "partial 16S ribosomal RNA". It matches the Rfam family "Bacterial small subunit ribosomal RNA", at positions 120 to 354 of the family's 1533-position model. The record is from RNAcentral.
AGCAAUCUGCCUUUUGGAGUGGGGAGUAACAGCCGGAAACGACUGCUAAUACCGCAUGAUGCAGCGGGGUCGCAUGAUUUUGCUGCCAAAGAUUUAUCGUCCAAAGAUGAGCUCGCGUCUGAUUAGCCAGUUGGCGGGGUAACGGCCCACCAAAGCGACGAUCAGUAGCCGGACUGAGAGGUUGAACGGCCACAUUGGGACUGAGACACGGCCCAGACUCCUACGGAAGGCAGCAG